AUUCGGUGUUUGCAUCCUCAAA
This 22-nucleotide non-coding RNA is filed under the name Rattus norvegicus (Norway rat). Lineage: Eukaryota; Metazoa; Chordata; Mammalia; Rodentia; Muridae. The record is from RNAcentral.